GUGCUUGCUUCAGCAGCACAUACACUAAAAUUGGAAUGAUACAGAGACUAGCAUGGCCCUGAGCAAAUUCAUGAAAUAUUCCAUAUUUUU
This is a small nuclear RNA of Fukomys damarensis (Damara mole-rat), 90 nucleotides long. The record is from Ensembl. NCBI's taxonomy places the organism in Eukaryota, Metazoa, Chordata, Mammalia, Rodentia, Bathyergidae.